GUCUAUGGCCAUGCUACUCUGAACAAGCCUGAUCCCAUCUGAUAUUGAAAACUAAGCAGGGUUGGGCCUGGUUAGUACUUGGAUGGGGGAAUGCCAAGGAAGACCAGGCAUAAAAAAUA
RNAcentral lists this ribosomal RNA (119 nucleotides) under Pteropus alecto (black flying fox). The record is from RNAcentral. Lineage: Eukaryota; Metazoa; Chordata; Mammalia; Chiroptera; Pteropodidae.